CAGCAGUGUAUGGAGCCGUGGCUCAGCUUGGAAUGAGCUUGUAAUAAUGAGUCACUUUCCUCUCCACAUUUAAACUGUGAGGUAGAAACCCCUUCUUAACCAGACCUGAGAAGACCCAUCGGACAGGCUCAGACUUGGGUAACUGAUCCCCAGUUCCUCCGUGCUCUCUCCUCACUGCCCACACUUUCUUUUAUCAAGAGUUUAAUGCUUAUUAACAUGAAAACAACACAAAGAAAUAAAGUUAUAUAUUUA
Neomonachus schauinslandi (Hawaiian monk seal) is the source of this 252-nucleotide long non-coding RNA. RefSeq lists it as uncharacterized. The record is from RefSeq and is a predicted model, not a curated record. NCBI's taxonomy places the organism in Eukaryota, Metazoa, Chordata, Mammalia, Carnivora, Phocidae. The transcript is spliced from 3 exons.